GUUGCUAUAGCUCAGUGGUAUGAGCAUACGAUUGCAAUUCAGUCAUCGUGGGGUCCCGUGUUCGAACCACGGUAGCAACU
Favolaschia claudopus is the source of this 80-nucleotide non-coding RNA. Lineage: Eukaryota; Fungi; Basidiomycota; Agaricomycetes; Agaricales; Mycenaceae. The record is from the annotation of a GenBank genome assembly.